This 412-nucleotide ribosomal RNA is filed under the name uncultured Gammaproteobacteria bacterium. Its description in RNAcentral is "bacterial SSU rRNA". It matches the Rfam family "Bacterial small subunit ribosomal RNA", at positions 9 to 417 of the family's 1533-position model. The record is from RNAcentral. Lineage: Bacteria; Pseudomonadati; Pseudomonadota; Gammaproteobacteria.
GAGUUUGAUCUUGGCUCAGAGUGAACGCUGGCGGCAGGCCUAACACAUGCAAGUCGAACGGCAGCACAGAGGAGCUUGCUCCUUGGGUGGCGAGUGGCGGACGGGUGAGGAAUGCAUCGGAAUCUGCCUAUUUGUGGGGGAUAACGUAGGGAAACUUACGCUAAUACCGCAUACGUCCUACGGGAGAAAGUGGGGGACCGCAAGGCCUCACGCAGAUAGAUGAGCCGAUGCCGGAUUAGCUAGUUGGCGGGGUAAAGGCCCACCAAGGCGACGAUCCGUAGCUGGUCUGAGAGGAUGAUCAGCCACACUGGAACUGAGACACGGUCCAGACUCCUACGGGAGGCAGCAGUGGGGAAUAUUGGACAAUGGGCGCAAGCCUGAUCCAGCCAUGCCGCGUGUGUGAAGAAGGCCU